GGAUGUAUGGCCGAGCGGUCGAAGGCAGAAGACUCAUAAUCUUCUUUCUCUAUAGAACAUCACAGGUUCAAAUCCUGUUGCAUCCA
This 86-nucleotide transfer RNA is filed under the name Trebouxia aggregata. Its description in RNAcentral is "tRNA-Ile". It matches the Rfam family "tRNA". From Rfam's summary of the family: Transfer RNA (tRNA) molecules are approximately 80 nucleotides in length. Lineage: Eukaryota; Viridiplantae; Chlorophyta; Trebouxiophyceae; Trebouxiales; Trebouxiaceae. The record is from RNAcentral.